RNAcentral lists this microRNA (21 nucleotides) under Brachypodium distachyon (stiff brome). RNAcentral's name for it is "bdi-miR167e-3p". Its record names the gene bdi-miR167e-3p. RNAcentral also lists the same sequence under 1 other name. The record is from miRBase by way of RNAcentral. Lineage: Eukaryota; Viridiplantae; Streptophyta; Magnoliopsida; Poales; Poaceae.
AGGUCAUGCUGGAGUUUCAUC